This 264-nucleotide ribosomal RNA is filed under the name uncultured archaeon. RNAcentral's name for it is "partial 16S ribosomal RNA". It matches the Rfam family "Archaeal small subunit ribosomal RNA", at positions 717 to 982 of the family's 1478-position model. The record is from RNAcentral.
ACACGACUACAUUAGAUACCCGCGUAGUCCCAGCCCUAAACGAUGCGCGUUAGGUGUAUCGGUGACCACGAGUCACCGAGGUGCCGAAGGGAAACCGUGAAACGUGCCGCCUGGGAAGUACGGUCGCAAGGCUGAAACUUAAAGGAAUUGGCGGGGAGCACCACAACAGGUGGAGCCUGCGGUUUAAUUGGACUCAACGCCGGAAAUCUCACCGGAUAAGACAGCGGAAUGAUUGCCGGGCUGAAGACUCUGCAUGACUAGCUG